RNAcentral lists this microRNA precursor (100 nucleotides) under Glycine max (soybean). Its description in RNAcentral is "miR5761b stem-loop (gma-MIR5761b)". Lineage: Eukaryota; Viridiplantae; Streptophyta; Magnoliopsida; Fabales; Fabaceae. The record is from miRBase by way of RNAcentral.
GUUUUUUUUCUUUUGUGUCGUGAAGCUUUUGAUGCCUAAGAACCCUAGAGCACCAAUUAUUAGAUGUAGUAUUAGUGGCCAAGCACAAAAAAAAAAAAAA